UCUUCUUCUUCUUGGUUACUGCUCAACUGGAGCUCAGGGAUUAAUAUUCUUCCAUGCGCUGGAUUUGAAGCUGAUGGUUUCAGAGGGGAUAGCAGGGGAACCAGAUACUUUUGUCCGGUUGUCUGCGCAAUCUCCUUUUACAUGCAAAAUUGUGACCUUUUUUUUAUCUUGCUCUUAACUAUCGUCUCCAAAAUAACCCUCCUGACCAAGUUCAUCACGCUAUCAGCUCAGCAAAGCACCUCUGCAUGCCACUCUUUUCCAUACUUGAGGUGAUUGACUAGAUAUUUAACUUAGGCAUGCUUUAUGAUACUUUUGUGGUCUGCUGGAAGUUAAACUUAGUACUAUGUCCCUGGUGUCUGAACUUGUGUUAGGCUAUAUUCUGCUACUAUUUGCUUCUGCCUCAGGUCUAUGCUUCUGGAUCGAUAUAUGCUCUAUGUCUGCUUCUAAAGUUGUAAAACAUCGUACUGGAGAUUCCCGUUAAUAUGCUAAUGGAAAUGGGGUAUCCUCGCGUUCGAAAAUUUAAUUUAGAGCCAUCAGAUACAUCGAUCUCUGUCGUGAAGCACGAGGCCAUGCUGCCAAAUUCCACCAAUAUCCAUCCGAUCGGCAGUGAGUUGCUGACCUUUCACUUUCAGGCAUGGACGCAUGGUUAGUGGAGAGGCAAGUUGGAAGGAGGACCUUGUUCCUAAAGCGCACACACAUGAAUCACACCCCAUAGUUCCUAUGCUCUGAAUUCACAGGACGCGCAUGAUUUUUUUUUUUUUUUAUCGUUGCUUUUGCGAUUGGUGGUUUGGGGGCGUUUUGCCGAUUUUCUGUUCUUAUUCCAGCCUACCGGAAGUUCAGACGAACUGACCACUCAAAUAAGAGGCUCCUGUUCCAAGAAAAGUCCAUGAAACUAUCCUGACUCCAUUAAUUUUUCAAAGGGACACAAACAAAGGCUAGAACGCAUGCCGGGGGAAAAUAAGGACCAAUUUGGUCCUGCAUGUACGGGGAACUUUCCCUGAUUCCUGUAGGAAUUCAACUAUUUUGUAUAGAAUUCACGCGUUUCAAACGGACCCUACACAAAAUCCAUGUUGACAAGUCUAGAGAGCUUCUACCAUGCAUGAAAAAUCAGACAAGUGAGUAGUGGCGAACGCAGGGCAGACGAGUAGGAGGCUCCUCCACUACUUUCUCUCUUUUUCUUUUCCUCUUUUUUUUUUCUUCCUCUCCUUAAUCUAUUGGAACGCGGAUCCCCUAACGUCGUGCAGUUACAGUGAUAUCGAUGUGACGGGAUCCGGAGAAUGGGUGCCCCUUAAGGCUCUGUUUGUUUCGGAUUGUAAAAGUUGGAUUGCGAUCAAAAUCUAAAAACUGAAACAAACAGCUGAAUUGUAAAAGUUGGAUUGUGAUCAUAAUCCAAAAGCUGAAACAAAUAGCUGGUUAGAAAAGCUGGAUUGUUACAAUCCAACACCCAGAUUAUAACAAUCCAGCAAUCCGUCUUCCACCAGAUUGUAACAAUCCACAAUCCAGCUUUUAUCAUCCAGAUUUUACAAUCCAGCUUUUUACAAUCCAUAAUCUACAAGCUACUUUUCACAAUCCAUAAUCUACAAGCUACUUUUCACAAUCUCCAGCUGAAACAAACAAACCUAAUCUGCCUCUUGCUGUGCGCAUGAAAAGAAAAAAAAAUUGCACACAGGUUUUACAAACAGUCGCUGGCAGGUGGGCCCAUCGAGUCAUACUGUCAAACACUGUCCCUUUCAUCCGUGCACAAAGCGACAGCCAUGUGAACUGUAAAGGCUAACCGCCGGUCUGGACUGUGGGCAACUACCGUCCCCGUCCCGGUCUAUAAAAUGCUAUCCACUCCUUCCAAUGCUGCAAGCCGCAGGAGAAGAGAUCAGAAUUCAGAAGACAAGAAACCCCUGUCCCUCCCCUAACCUUCGUCACAAGCCAGCCAGCCAGCUAGAGCUUGAUUAGAAGAAGAUGUAUAACGCUCCGAUGGCGCAGGAGAUGUCCUACUUCGAACAUGUGCAGAGGCGCCAUGAGGAGAAGGGCUGCCUCUAUGCAUGCAUCUUCACCGCGCUGUGCUGCUUCUGCUGCUACGAGACCUGCGAGUGUUGCCUCGACUGCCUCUGCUGUUGCUGCAACUAGGUCGAGCAUCAACAGAGAAGGAGAUGAAAAUGGAGAUCGGACUCCAUCCCUUACCGGAGAUUAUUCAGUAGCUUCCCCCCUUUAAUUUGGUUGUGCAGAAAUAAUAAGCAUGUAGUAGAAGAAGAGAGCUUCGUCAGUUUGAGCAUUUGUGUUUCUGAACAAGACUAUUAUUGUGUGGUAACUAUGGUAUGAAUUGCUGCAGCAUAUUAGCAUC
Long non-coding RNA from Phragmites australis (common reed), 2335 nucleotides. RefSeq lists it as uncharacterized. The record is from RefSeq and is a predicted model, not a curated record. NCBI's taxonomy places the organism in Eukaryota, Viridiplantae, Streptophyta, Magnoliopsida, Poales, Poaceae. The transcript is spliced from 2 exons.